UACGUAGGGUGCAAGCGUUAAUCGGAAUUACUGGGCGUAAAGCGUGCGCAGGCGGUGAUGUAAGACAGAUGUGAAGUCCCCGGGCUCAACCUGGGAACUGCAUUUGUGACUGCAUCGCUAGAGUACGGUAGAGGGGGAUGGAAUUCCGCGUGUAGCAGUGAAAUGCGUAGAUAUGCGGAGGAACACCGAUGGCGAAGGCAAUCCCCUGGACCUGUACUGACGCUCAUGCACGAAAGCGUGGGGAGCAAACAGG
RNAcentral lists this ribosomal RNA (253 nucleotides) under uncultured bacterium. RNAcentral's name for it is "partial 16S ribosomal RNA". It matches the Rfam family "Bacterial small subunit ribosomal RNA", at positions 524 to 776 of the family's 1533-position model. The record is from RNAcentral.